Long non-coding RNA from Dryobates pubescens (Downy woodpecker), 1199 nucleotides. RefSeq lists it as uncharacterized. The transcript is spliced from 3 exons. NCBI's taxonomy places the organism in Eukaryota, Metazoa, Chordata, Aves, Piciformes, Picidae. The record is from RefSeq and is a predicted model, not a curated record.
UGCCAGCCCAUCCCUUCCUUCCUUUAAAGAAAAUCUGUGGAGCUGUGAGAUGCUUACCAGGAAGAACACAUACAACAGAGAAGCCUGAAUAAAAGACAGAUGAAUUUUCAUCCUUGCAGCCUCUUCCUUAAAAAGCUCUUAGACAAGAAUGUAGAAAAAUACAACUGGCUGUAAAGAGAUGACCAUGAAGCAUAUUGCUCCCAGGAAGAAGCAAGAGAUAUUCACAAUGACUCCAGCAAACAGUAAUUACACUGACUCUGUAGGCACAAUCUGGACUGCAAUUGUGCACGCUGCUGGUUGGUGACAGGACAAAUCACUGGGUGCUCUGCCUACUGGUGCAUGCUUCUAUUUUCAGUCCCUAGCAGUACAAUGAAGGUGGCACAGGUCUGUGCAGUCAGCCCUCGCUUUCAUUUGGUGUGGAUAAGAUCUUUAUUUCAUUCCUGCUGACUCUGCCUCAGUAUCGAUCACGUCACUCAUUUCAAUGGAGUGGGUUGUGAUUUAAGCUGAUAAAGGCAAAAUCAGCCUUUGUGGUGAUUACAGCUGAACACCAUUUACUUUCUGUGGGGGAAACCUGAAAUGAUGCAAGAAGGGAAACCAGCAACAUGAUAUAGACCCAGUUUGCACCUGGAAACCCUGAUUACCGUGCUCUGCAUUGCUCACAAUGGGACAAGGCUGCUGCGGACUCACCUGGGCUCCUUCUCAGCUUCUACAGCAGGAACAGUAGUAGCUAAAGAUCACCCUGAGUAUGGAAAUGGAAACCACAGAAGAUGUGCAAUGCCAGUGUUUUAGGCUAGUUGCUGAGCUUCAGAAUUUCCUUCAGCUGCUGUCAAAUUGCUAGUUCAAUGGGAACUUAAAUAUGUCAGUCUUACACAUGAUGAAGCAUGAGAAGUUCUCUCUAUCUAUGAAGUUCUAAAUGGUAGAAAAAGUAACUUCUCACUGCGAAACCUUCUUUCCUUUUCAGUUAUUUGAAGUGAGAUUCUUCUUUCUGAAUGAACUUUGGGUUAUGCCUUUAUGUCACCCUAAUGAAUCACAGAGCAAAGCCUCUUAUGGAGCAUGGGGGAAAAAAUGUACCACUGUAUCUGCACCUACAAGCUCUACUCCUAAUUGUUGCAACAGUUUAGGAACUUGCAGUACCCCAAAUCCGUUACAUUACAUGUUGAAGCAUUCUCCCCUGAAAUACCUGGCACUGCCAUUUCUUU